UAGGGAAUCUUCCACAAUGGACGAAAGUCUGAUGGAGCAACGCCGCGUGAGCGAAGAAGGUUUUCGGAUCGUAAAGCUCUGUUGUUGGUGAAGAAGGAUAGAGGCAGUAACUGGUCUUUAUUUGACGGUAAUCAACCAGAAAGUCACGGCUAACUACGUGCCAGCAGCCGCGGUAAUACGUAGGUGGCAAGCGUUGUCCGGAUUUAUUGGGCGUAAAGCGAGCGCAGGCGGAAUGAUAAGUCUGAUGUGAAAGCCCACGGCUCAACCGUGGAACUGCAUCGGAAACUGUCAUUCUUGAGUGCAGAAGAGGAGAGUGGAACUCCAUGUGUAGCGGUGGAAUGCGUAGAUAUAUGGAAGAACACCAGUGGCGAAGGCGGCUCUCUGGUCUGCAACUGACGCUGAGGCUCGAAAGCAUGGGUAGCGAACAGGAUUAGAUACCCUGGUAGUCCAUGCCGUAAACGAUGAGCGCUAGGUGUUGGGGACUUUCCGGUCCUCAGUGCCGCAGCAAACGCAUUAAGCGCUCCGCCUGGGGAGUACGACCGCAAGGUUGAA
This 552-nucleotide ribosomal RNA is filed under the name uncultured bacterium. Its description in RNAcentral is "partial 16S ribosomal RNA". It matches the Rfam family "Bacterial small subunit ribosomal RNA", at positions 355 to 898 of the family's 1533-position model. The record is from RNAcentral.